AUUUAUGUAUUCAAUUGUUUGUAAAUUAGUUAAAGUCGAAACAAGCAAAUAUGUAUGUUGUUUAAAUUGCCACACAGUAAAAUGGAACCAAAACAUCAAACAUUGGUUACAUGUUGUAACAUAUGGAGCCAGGUAGACUGAUAUUGUGCUCCUCUUCCUACAGUACUGUUGCUUUAAGAGAAAGGCAGCGCUGGUGGGAGGGGGAAAUCUUGCGAGAGCACGUAGUGGGGCUACCGCGAGAUCAGGAAGUAAAUCUGACAAGGUGGCUAGCACUAGAGCUUGUGACUGACUUGGGGAAAAUUGUUGUAAACACCAAUAAAAGGUUGUAUGCUAACGCAAUAUUGGGCAGGCGGAGGGACGCUGAGCAGCAGUGCAGAGUGGAGAGGUGAUGUGUUACCUGCCAAGUGUGUAGCAGCUACCGUUCAACACACUGGAAGAAGUAAGUUAAUCUGCAAUGUACAAUAUUACGCUGAUGUGAAAAUGUAACUGUUCAAUUGUCACUGUGUACCAUCAGAAAGUAUGUGGUAAGGUAAAGUUUUAUUUGAUUUUUUUUAUAAUUGCAAGCCACUACUGUUAUCUAUUGUGUAUAAUAAUCUUUUCUAUGUUUUCUGGAAGUGCAGUUUUUGGUUGUUGGUGCAAGUCAGGGUACCCGGCACCUAGUAGGACCAAUAUUCAGUGCUAGGGACAGAAGAAAGCAAAUAGCUGUAUUCAUCUUCGCUCGCCAAUCUCAGUCUUAUUGUUGUUAAUGCUGAACAUUCCAUAUCCAGUCGGGAAUAAA
Doryrhamphus excisus (bluestripe pipefish) is the source of this 778-nucleotide non-coding RNA. NCBI's taxonomy places the organism in Eukaryota, Metazoa, Chordata, Actinopteri, Syngnathiformes, Syngnathidae. The record is from RefSeq and is a predicted model, not a curated record.